GACGUAGGGCGCGAGCGUUGUCCGGAAUUAUUGGGCGUAAAGAGCUUGUAGGCGGUUUGUCGCGUCUGCUGUGAAAUUUCGGGGCUCAACCCCGAACUUGCAGUGGGUACGGGCAGACUAGAGUGUGGUAGGGGUAGAGGGAAUUCCAGGUGUAGCGGUGAAAUGCGUAGAUAUCAGGAGGAACACCGGUGGCGAAGGCGGGUCUCUGGGCCGAUACUGACGCUGAGGAGCGAAAGCGUGGGGAGCGAACAGG
RNAcentral lists this ribosomal RNA (253 nucleotides) under uncultured bacterium. RNAcentral's name for it is "partial 16S ribosomal RNA". It matches the Rfam family "Bacterial small subunit ribosomal RNA", at positions 524 to 776 of the family's 1533-position model. The record is from RNAcentral.